CUUUGAGAUGAUGAUAUUCUUUUCUGAAAUAAAAUAUAAUGUAGACUAAAAGAUAUCAGACUACAAUUAUCUGAUCAUUU
Molecule: small nucleolar RNA, 80 nt
Organism: Hibiscus syriacus
Lineage: Eukaryota; Viridiplantae; Streptophyta; Magnoliopsida; Malvales; Malvaceae
Product: small nucleolar RNA Z155
Exons: 1
Source: RefSeq, a predicted model, not a curated record